GACAUCGAAUCGAUAUCGAUAUCUAUAUUGAAAGUGAAAACUUCUCUUCUACACGGAAUAAAUUAAAUUAGCUAAACUCGUUUAAAUAAGGCAUAUUUUGUAGUAAACAAGACUACAGAAGAGAACAAACAUGUGCGGCGGUUUCACAUGCUCGAAAAACGCGCUAAUUGCGCUUAACAUUUUAUAUGUGAUGAUUGGAUUCCUGCUGAUUGGAGUGGGCGUGUACGCGCGUGCCGCCUCCAUUGUGACCAACCUGCCAAUUGUGGGCGGAAUCCUGGCCUGCGGCGUCAUCCUCAUCUGCAUAUCCAUGCUUGGACUGGCUGGAGCCGUAAAGCACCACCAAGUGAUGCUGUUCUUCUACAUGAUCAUUCUGUUCAUGCUGUUCCUCAUCCAGUUCUCCAUUGCCAGUUCCUGUUUGGCUGUCAAUUCCGAGCAGCAGCAGCAGUUCGCUGAACAAGGAUGGAUGACAGUGCCCACAGAUUUGCGCAAACAGGUGCAGGACAGUCUGAAAUGCUGCGGAUUCAAUGCCACAGGACCAAGCACAACCUCCGUGGUACCUCCACCGGAUGAGCCAUCCUGCGAGCUGAUUAAUCAACAUUGCUGUGCCCACUCCACCCAGGCGGACUGUCGCUGCGAACCCUGUGGACCCCUGCUGGAGGACAAGAUCGACUACGCCUUCAAGUUGUGCGGCGGUCUAGGAAUCUUCUUCAGCUUCACUGAGUUCGUUGGCGUCUGGCUAACAGUCCGCUAUCGCAAUCAAAAGGAUCCGCGAGGCUUGCCCAGCGCUUUUCUUUAAAUUAAACGCUAGUCGAGAACAAGAAAAACAUUUUCCAGAUACAGAAACUUCUAAAAGUUAUUUAGUGCAUGUAUCUCUGCUCUGUCUCUGCUAAAUGUUUGGUGUUGCGAUGAUGAAAGAUUUCAUGAGCUCUUGGGGCCCACAUACCAUAUAUAUACAAGCAUCCUUUAUAUUUAUACCAUCUACAGAUACAUAUAUACAUAUAUAUUUAAUCACAUUGCUGCAGAACUAUGUACGUAAUGUGUUAGGUCGUAAUUGAUAUACAACUUUAGACAUAUAUACAUAUUAAUAGAGAGAUAUAUAUAGAAGGAGAGAGCUAAGCGUUUAACCCAUUACGAACCCGAAAGCAAGCAAUCAGCAAAGAAACAUAUUUCCUUUAAUUCUCAACACACUUUCUUUAACACUUCUGAACAACAAAAUUGUACUUUCUCUUGACUGCCUGCUCUUUGACUAAGUUUAAGUCCAACAAGUGAACAAGGGUGUUGGCUGUUUUCCUGGCUCGUCGCUACCGCAAUCAACAUGAUCCCUGCUAUCUGCCCGCUCGUGCUGUCUUCCCGCGCGAUUAUUUAUAUUGAACGGGCUAAAAUCCGCAAACUGGAAGUGAAACAUUUUAGUCAAAGGGACGAAGGCUGAAUUCUUAUUUUUACAAACGCGUUUCCUAGAAAGAAUCGAAUCCAAACAUGAACAAGAGAUUACUCUCCGGAGGUGGAGAAAGUAGAGGAGGAGUUAUAAAUGUGCUCAACACUGCUAUUUAAGAGUCAUUUUAUUUUACCAUCCCAUUUGCUUGAAUUGCACAAAGUUAUUUAAUUAAUAAACCUCCAUUAAGAUUGUGUUUAGAUGUAAUAUUCUAGUUUAAGUUUUACUGUUUGUAACACCUUAGUUAGCUCUUAAUGCCUUUCUUUGCAACUCGCAACAAUCAUGAACAACUCGACGUGACUGGACUUUAAACUACUGUACCACUACGAGACAAACAUUUCAACAACCUGAUCUUAUUGUAGAACUAACAACCAAGUCAACAAUUGUAACUAGCAACUUAACAAGUAUACAUCAACCUAUAUACAAACGUAAUUGCAUUAUUGCCCUGAAGGCGUAUAAACAAUACUCUAAAUGUUAGUUGUGUGUUAAACUUUAAACUAGUGAGAAAAAAAGCCCACAAAAUAACAAAAAAAAGAGUAACCCUCUAAGCAUACAUGUCAACAAUUAUACAAGUCUAUAUAGAUAAAGCCUACACAUAAGAAAACUGCUUCUUCGAAUAUUUCACUCCUUUUCCGCACUUGCUCGACUUUCUCUGCAGCUUUACCUUCUCGACUUUCACCCUUUGCAAAAACGCCGCCAAGAACAAACAAAUACAUCACACACCCAACACGCUUCUUCCUCUUCGCACACACCACACUCUUAAGGAAAUAGUUUUCCCAGCAGUUUUUCCUUUCCAAUUUCUUUUCGAGCGACAAAUAAACCAUUAGAUAAUAUUCUCUGUAUUCUGUGCUGUGAUUGAAGUAAAUAUGAUCUUUAAAAACAACAAAAGCAAAAACCGAAA
Molecule: RNA transcript, 2333 nt
Organism: Drosophila eugracilis
Lineage: Eukaryota; Metazoa; Arthropoda; Insecta; Diptera; Drosophilidae
Gene: Tsp97E
Gene name: tetraspanin-13
Exons: 5
Source: RefSeq, a predicted model, not a curated record